Molecule: ribosomal RNA, 468 nt
Filed under: uncultured bacterium
Lineage: Bacteria
Description: partial 16S ribosomal RNA
Rfam family: Bacterial small subunit ribosomal RNA
Source: RNAcentral
GACGAACGCUGGCGGCGUGCUUAACACAUGCAAGUCGAACGGAAAGGCCCUGCUUUUGUGGGGUGCUCGAGUGGCGAACGGGUGAGUAACACGUGAGUAACCUGCCCUUGACUUUGGGAUAACUUCAGGAAACUGGGGCUAAUACCGGAUAGGAGCUCCUGCUGCAUGGUGGGGGUUGGAAAGUUUCGGCGGUUGGGGAUGGACUCGCGGCUUAUCAGCUUGUUGGUGGGGUAGUGGCUUACCAAGGCUUUGACGGGUAGCCGGCCUGAGAGGGUGACCGGCCACAUUGGGACUGAGAUACGGCCCAGACUCCUACGGGAGGCAGCAGUGGGGAAUAUUGCACAAUGGGCGGAAGCCUGAUGCAGCAACGCCGCGUGCGGGAUGACGGCCUUCGGGUUGUAAACCGCUUACGCCUGUGACGAAGCGUGAGUGACAGUAAUGGGUAAAGAAGCACCGGCUAACUACGUG